CAGCAUGCUAUCCUAAGGACCUGAGCUCUGUUUGUAGCCCCAGGUUCUCCAAGUGCAUGCAAGAAAAGUGGGUAGUCUUUGACUGUUGUGGCCUUCGUUUGCCAUGAGCAGCCACUCAACUGUCCUACAAUU
This 132-nucleotide small nucleolar RNA is filed under the name Myripristis murdjan (pinecone soldierfish). RNAcentral describes it as "Small nucleolar RNA SNORA44 (ENSMMDG00005008113.1)". It matches the Rfam family "Small nucleolar RNA SNORA44". Rfam says of the family: ACA44 is a member of the H/ACA class of snoRNA that guide the sites of modification of uridines to pseudouridines. Lineage: Eukaryota; Metazoa; Chordata; Actinopteri; Holocentriformes; Holocentridae. The record is from Rfam by way of RNAcentral.